RNAcentral lists this ribosomal RNA (388 nucleotides) under uncultured bacterium. RNAcentral's name for it is "bacterial SSU rRNA". It matches the Rfam family "Bacterial small subunit ribosomal RNA", at positions 28 to 417 of the family's 1533-position model. The record is from RNAcentral.
GACGAACGCUGGCGGCGUGCUUAACACAUGCAAGUCGAGCGGUAAGGCCCUUUCGGGGGUACACGAGCGGCGAACGGGUGAGUAACACGUGGGUGACCUGCCCUCAGCUCUGGGAUAAGCCUGGGAAACCGGGUCUAAUACCGGAUAUGACUCCAUGACGCAUGUUGUGGGGUGGAAAGCCUUGUGCGGCUGAGGAUGGGCCCGCGGCCUAUCAGCUUGUUGGUGGGGUGANGGCCUGCCAAGGCGACGACGGGUAGCCGGCCUGAGAGGGCGACCGGCCACACUGGGACUGAGACACGGCCCAGACUCCUACGGGAGGCAGCAGUGGGGAAUCUUGCGCAAUGGGCGAAAGCCUGACGCAGCGACGCCGCGUGAGGGAUGACGGCCU